AGGUAAUUAGACAUUUAAUUUAAAAACAAAGGACAAUAGCAUACGCUCUGAAGCACGAAGAGCUGCAGCUAUGUCAGUUGAGAAAAGUGGAUUGCCAGCACCAAAACUGAUGCCACCAAAUAUAAUAACUCUUCCUUUCUCAAGAUGUCUGAUAGCCCGCUGCCUAUUGUAUAGUUCAGCAAACUCCUGCAUGGCAAUUGAAGUUUGUACACGAGUCUGAACACCCAUCUUCUCUAGAGUCGAUUGGAGCAAUAUUGAAUUCAUCACUGUUGCCAUCAUG
This 280-nucleotide small RNA is filed under the name Vigna angularis var. angularis. RNAcentral describes it as "Non-protein coding transcript". Lineage: Eukaryota; Viridiplantae; Streptophyta; Magnoliopsida; Fabales; Fabaceae. The record is from RNAcentral.